AUUUAUUUAGUAUAUAAGUACAUUUGACUUCCAAUCAAAAAGAUUGAUUAAUCCAAAAUAAAUA
This 64-nucleotide transfer RNA is filed under the name Ruidocollaris obscura. RNAcentral describes it as "tRNA-Gly". It matches the Rfam family "tRNA". From Rfam's summary of the family: Transfer RNA (tRNA) molecules are approximately 80 nucleotides in length. Lineage: Eukaryota; Metazoa; Arthropoda; Insecta; Orthoptera; Tettigoniidae. The record is from RNAcentral.